UCGGGGAUGGCGUGGUUGACAAUCUGCUUGCACAUUUUGGGCAGUGACAUGAAACGUCUUAAAGAGAGCGACCUAGUCGUGACUCAACCAAUAAGUAUUAUUUCGUGUCAUUUAUAAUUGUUGCAAGCUAACAGUAACAACAUGCAAUGAUGAAAAUGGCUACACUAGCGUUAACUGUUCCUCUAGCCUCCACACUAAACUUAGAC
RNAcentral lists this long non-coding RNA (206 nucleotides) under Lupinus angustifolius (narrow-leaved blue lupine). Its description in RNAcentral is "long non-coding RNA (LANG_LNC001282)". The record is from RNAcentral. Lineage: Eukaryota; Viridiplantae; Streptophyta; Magnoliopsida; Fabales; Fabaceae.